CCCCAGACUCCUACGGGAGGCAGCAGUGGGGAAUAUUGCACAAUGGGGGAAACCCUGAUGCAGCGACGCCGCGUGAAGGAAGAAGUAUUUCGGUAUGUAAACCUCUAUCAGCAGGGAAGAAAAUGACGGUACCUGACUAAGAAGCCCCGGCUAACUACGUGCCAGCAGCCGCGGUAAUACGUAGGGGGCAAGCGUUAUCCGGAUUUACUGGGUGUAAAGGGAGCGUAGGCGGUUUAGCAAGUCAGAAGUGAAAGCCCGGGGCUCAACUCCGGGACUGCUUUUGAAACUGUUGAACUAGAGUGCAGGAGAGGUAAGUGGAAUUCCUAGUGUAGCGGUGAAAUGCGUAGAUAUUAGGAGGAACACCAGUGGCGAAGGCGGCUUACUGGACUGUAAAUGACGCUGAGGCUCGAAAGCGUGGGGAGCAAACAGGAUUAGAUACCCCAGUAGG
This 448-nucleotide ribosomal RNA is filed under the name uncultured bacterium. RNAcentral's name for it is "partial 16S ribosomal RNA". It matches the Rfam family "Bacterial small subunit ribosomal RNA", at positions 329 to 794 of the family's 1533-position model. The record is from RNAcentral.